GGGCACUUGGCACAGUGGUAGCGCGCACGCUUCGCAUCUUGUCGAUUAGAUUGCGUGAGGUCGGGAGUUCAAUCCUCCCAGUGUCCA
Non-coding RNA from Athelia sp. TMB, 87 nucleotides. The record is from the annotation of a GenBank genome assembly. Lineage: Eukaryota; Fungi; Basidiomycota; Agaricomycetes; Atheliales; Atheliaceae.